AGACACCAAGCAUAAUCCGACGGCCACUAUCCAAUCUCUCAAACUCCAAUACCCAAAACUUUUCUUCUCAUUCCCUACCGUCCGAUGAUCCUCAUCUUAAAACCGCACCUUUCCUCUGUAGUAAGAAGAGAAACGGAUCGAUAGCCAGAGAGGGAGGAAGGAUAGGAAAAAAGAAAAACUGAGGAAUAGAAAAGAAGGGAAAGGAAAAGAGAAAAAAUGGCGGAGCACUUGGCAUCGAUAUUUGGUACGGAAAAGGAUAGGGUCAACUGCCCGUUCUAUUUCAAGAUAGGCGCUUGUCGUCACGGAGACCGGUGCUCGCGUCUCCACACCAAGCCCAGCAUCAGCCCGACUCUCCUUCUCUCAAACAUGUACCAGCGGCCCGACAUGAUCACCCCCGGCGUCGAAAACCAGGGUAACCCCAUCGACCCCCGCAAGAUCCAAGAACAUUUCGAGGAGUUUUAUGAGGAUUUAUUUGAGGAACUGAGCAAGUACGGUGAAAUUGAGAGUCUGAAUAUAUGCGACAACUUGGCUGACCAUAUGGUGGGCAAUGUGUAUGUUCAGUUUAGAGAAGAAGAACAUGCCGCAAAUGCGCUCAGGAAUCUUAGUGGAAGAUUUUAUUCUGGCCGUCCUAUCAUUGUUGACUUCUCACCUGUGACUGACUUCCGUGAAGCCACCUGUAGGCAGUAUGAAGAGAAUACUUGCAAUCGUGGUGGAUAUUGCAAUUUCAUGCACCUGAAAACAAUCAGCAGGGAGUUGAGGCGCCAGUUAUUUGGGAGGUAUAGAAGGAGGCGAAGCCAUAGCCAAAGCAGAAGCAGAAGCCCUCCAAAGCAUCGUGGUAGCCAUGAGGAACGCUCUCAUGGUGGGCGUGGCCACAUUAGACGGUAUGGUGAUAGAGAUCAUUAUCAUGAAAGCCGGAGUAAAAGGCAUAGAAGCACUAGUCCUGGCCAUAGGAGAGGACGGAGCAGAAGCCCUGGGGGAAAGAGAAAUCGUAGUCCAGUUCGUGAAGGCAGUGAGGAGAGGCGUGCGAAAAUUGAGCAAUGGAACCGUGAAAGGGAGCAAGAAAAUGCUAACAGAGUUGAUAAUGAUGCUGCCAAUAAUAACAAUGAGAAUGGUAACAAUGGAUAUGCAAAGAAUGAUGAUAAGUACUAUGGACAUCAGCAGCAGCAGGAGUAGCCUCCAUAGCUGGGAGGCCAUUGACACUGAUUAAAUUACCUUGUCUGGUGGUGUGCAGGUUGUCGGUGCUGUGCUUGAGAAACAGGUUAAAAGGGUAUGUCAGAUUUAACUUGUAGAAGAAACAAGAAAGCGCCUGCAGCCUCUUCUCAGCUCUACUGCAAGGUAUAGGUGUUGUGGGUGUCUUAUGGACGAGCUAGGAGUGGUUUCAGUGAGGCCGUGAGUUGCUGGACUUUCUAUUUCUUAUUUUGAUCUUAACUUGACAGGUGUUGUAUUGUUGGAACGUGAUACAUGUUUGGUGUUAAAAAGACUUUAAAGAAUUGCCUUUUAUUGUAUAAGAUACUUAACUCAUUGCUAUAAAGUUUAGUAUUUUAACUUUAA
Theobroma cacao (cacao) is the source of this 1551-nucleotide non-coding RNA. NCBI's taxonomy places the organism in Eukaryota, Viridiplantae, Streptophyta, Magnoliopsida, Malvales, Malvaceae. The record is from RefSeq and is a predicted model, not a curated record.